This is a small nucleolar RNA of Sorghum bicolor (sorghum), 73 nucleotides long. Lineage: Eukaryota; Viridiplantae; Streptophyta; Magnoliopsida; Poales; Poaceae. The record is from Rfam.
AAAUAGCCGAUGAUGGUGUUAAAUAUACUUUGUAGCGUACCGCUCUGAAAAAAACUUAAAUCUGAGGCAUUUU